CCAGAACUGCUCAGGCUUGGUAGCUGGGCCCAUGCCUCCCACAGGCUGCUUGGAGCCACUGGUGAUGUUGAAGAGGCCCUCCUUCCCUGCAAGAGCAGCCUGGGCUCGGGAACUCGGUCUCCUGCCACUCCCCCGCCUCGAGAGGACCCUGAUAGUGGUCCUGCCCAUUGGCCUUGGAGCAGCCCCGUGGGCUCCACUUUACAGACAGCCUUUGGAACAGGGAGGGGACAGGCGCCGAUUUCAGCGCAGGACAGGAGGGCACCCCGCUGGAGAGCGACUGCCUUGCCUCGUGCAUUCGUUGUUGGGGCUGGCCUGGGCUGGCCCAGCACCUGAGACGUCUCGCCUCAUCAGUUUGCAGGCAUCAUGGCGUAUGGUGGUGGGUCUGUCUACCACCAACUGGGAGCCCCUCCCCUCCUGAGGGCUUGGUGCGGUUCUGGCCUGUGGCAGAGGAACCCCCGACGACCUGCAGCCAGAAAGAGGGGUGGGAAGGAGAUGAUGAAGGGGAGUGAACUGAGACCCUGAGUCCUUGCCCUCACCCAAGUAUGACCAGUCGCCAGAGACCCAGGAAACCAGAUGACGGAUGUGUGCUCUGAGGGCUCUGGUCGCCGCCUUCUCACCUGGGCAUGACAGCCAGUGCACCUGUGCCACCAACCCACUCUGCCCUCCCCGGCUGGUGCCCGGGCCCCAAGGCCAGCAUGCACCAGGCAGGGUGCCACCAGCAGGGCAGGUACCAGGGCCACGGAGGGCCUUGGCCUGCGCAGCUGGGCAGUGGGCACCAGAGCCCUCGCUGCGUCCUGUUGAUUCUGGGAGGGUUUUCCGAUCUCUCUGGCCUGAUGCUCGCAUGGCCAGCCGGGGAGCUGGGAUGCAGUGGAGAGGUGGAGCCAGCCUUUGCAACCCCAAGCCCCGGCCCUCGCUGGCAGAGAGGUGGCCGUGGGGGAGGGGCAGGAGCUUCCCUCCGCUGUCUGGCGGGCCGCCUCCAGAUCUAGGUCAUCGUGCUUCAGCCUCACUCUCUGCCUUCCGCAAGCUGUGUUCCGUGGGAUUUUUUAAAUACCUGAAUGCCUCUGGGAGAAACUCAGUGUUGGUGCCAUUUCGUAUCUGCACCUUCGGCUUUUCGUGACAUUACAGAGCUACAGCGAGGACAGAGAGUCUCAGAGAUGCCAGGACACCUUGAGGAGGUCGCCUCCAGCCCCCUGGUAACCCCUGAGCGCAUCCCUUUGGAGGGCCCCCAGGGUCACACGGUCAGGCAGCUCUUCCCCCCUGAGUCACACUGUGCUCAGGGUCCCUGUCACCCCGACCCCUGCCCUGGGCUGUGUUCUCUCCCAGGGCCCUUCAGUGGUCUGUCUCUCAUUGGCUGCAGCUGGAGGCCCACAGUCCCCUGACCACUGACCCUCGUGGGGGCAGGGGCACCCGCCUCCCCUCUGGGUCCCCGGGUCCCAAGGCUGGCUCACCGCCGCAGAGCACAGGCGCCCUUUGUGGCCUGCUCCAGCUGCCCAGUGAGUGGGGGAUGCAGUGUGGACCAAGGCUCUGCCCCACUUGGAAGCCUCUCUGUCCCUGGAGCACACAGUCGCUUUAACGGGGCGAGCGUGCCCUCCUGGCAGGGCAGCUGCUGUGGACUCCGAGCUCUUUUAAUUGGCCUGUGUCCAUCGGUGACGAGGACGGGUGUGUGUCAUCACGCUCUUACAUUUUUCUAACAAGGAGAUCAAGAGAAGCAUUCUCCAAUGGCCCUCACUGCACACACAAGCCCCCCUCCACAGCUCCUGGGGCCCACGCACCCGACUCGGCCAACUGCCCGAGGCUCCGAGGCCUGGGGUCAGCAGGGAUGGGAAGGGUAGUCCAGGCAGAGGGAGGCACGAAGCCAGGGGGCACCCACAAGUGCAGGGCAGGAGGUGUGAGUGGGGCGGCAGCCCUCCUGACUCGGUGGUCUCAGGUCUUCUCACCUGUAUGGCUGAGCCAGUGCAGCAGGCCCAGCAAGGACGGUACGUGGGAGCGGUGCCCACAAUCAGACAAAGGCAGGGCCCAGGAGGGCAUCAGGGCCCAAUGGGGCGGCCUGACCGACCAGGGCAUGUCCCUGGACUGCCUGGGAGCUGGUCACACCCUUUGGGGGAGCGAGGUCUGGGCCCAGAGGUUGGGGUUCGCUGUUUGGUCUCACCACACUCUGAACCUCUGCUUCCUGGUCUGAGCAGGGGCCCAACUACGCCCAUUCCAGCCUGUGUUGGUGCCUCCGGGAAGGGCGGGGUAGGUAAGGGCUGCAAGCGCCCGAGCCUGCUCUACCUGACAUCUGUGUGUCACCUGGAGCAAACUGCUCCAUCUCUGAAACUGGCACCCGUGUCACCUGCCACCUCCGUCAUGCCUGUCACUGUGGUUUACACAGAGCCCAUCUCCCCACAAGUUGCUUCCUUUUCCGGCCCCAGGUGACCACGUGGACGCCCACAAGUCUGUGCUGGAGGGGAGGGAGACACAGCACAGGCUACACGCAGCCUCUGGAGAAUUUCUUCACUAAAGGAGGUUUUUUCCUGAAAAACGUCAAGCUAUUUGUAGCCCAA
Long non-coding RNA from Equus asinus (donkey), 2543 nucleotides. The record is from Ensembl. NCBI's taxonomy places the organism in Eukaryota, Metazoa, Chordata, Mammalia, Perissodactyla, Equidae.